GGUAACGCAUGUUUCUUGGUGCUACCUUGAACUGUUGGUUGACAAAGCCCUAGUUGAGAAACCUUUGGUUUUAAACUAAAAAUAAUGUGUGUUUGGAUAGAUGCCUGAUUGUGACUGUGUUGAAUCGAAUACUGUUUGGAAAGGAUAUGCUUUUGUGCUGGAUUGCUUUGUGGAGGCUCUUUCAUCUGCUAGCCGGGAAUAGUUAAGUAUAAGAGACCUGGUUGACGGAGAAUGAUCAGGACACCAACUUGUCAACUGAUGGAUUUGGGGGACCUUAUCGACUUGAUCGGGAGAGAGAGGAGUGGGGUGGCUGCCAGCAGCAGUGUAGCCUCUUGUGGUGGUGGGCCCUUUACCUAUUUGCAGUGAUCACAGUGAAGUGUGUGUACGCGUGAGUGCUAUCUCCUUUGCUCAAAGGAUGCCAGGCCUUCCCCCUCCUUGAAGUGGGACGUUUUGUUUGUUUCUAAUUAUUUGAUGUAGUGAAUAAAACUUGAAUCUGUUUUAAAUAAAGUUGUCCUAACU
Long non-coding RNA from Carassius auratus (goldfish), 519 nucleotides. RefSeq lists it as uncharacterized. The transcript is spliced from 4 exons. NCBI's taxonomy places the organism in Eukaryota, Metazoa, Chordata, Actinopteri, Cypriniformes, Cyprinidae. The record is from RefSeq and is a predicted model, not a curated record.